GAUGAACGCUGGCGGCGUGCCUAAUACAUGCAAGUCGAGCGAACAGACGAGGAGCUUGCUCCUCUGACGUUAGCGGCGGACGGGUGAGUAACACGUGGAUAACCUACCUAUAAGACCGGGAUAACUUCGGGAAACCGGAGCUAAUACCGGAUAAUAUAUUGAACCGCAUGGUUCAAUAGUGAAAGACGGUUUUGCUGUCACUUAUAGAUGGAUCCGCGCCGCAUUAGCUAGUUGGUAAGGUAACGGCUUACCAAGGCGACGAUGCGUAGCCGACCUGAGAGGGUGAUACGCCACACUGGAACUGAGACACGGUCCAGACUCCUACGGGAGGCAGCAGUAGGGAAUCUUCCGCAAUGGGCGAAAGCCUGACGGAGCAACGCCGCGUGAGUGAUGAAGGUCUUCGGAUCGUAAAACUCUGUUAUUAGGGAAGAACAAAUGUGUAAGUAACUAUGCACGUCUUGACGGUACCUAAUCAGAAAGCCACGGCUAACUACGUG
RNAcentral lists this ribosomal RNA (497 nucleotides) under uncultured bacterium. RNAcentral describes it as "partial 16S ribosomal RNA". It matches the Rfam family "Bacterial small subunit ribosomal RNA", at positions 28 to 507 of the family's 1533-position model. The record is from RNAcentral.